RNAcentral lists this transfer RNA (74 nucleotides) under Nanobdellota archaeon. Its description in RNAcentral is "tRNA-Ala". It matches the Rfam family "tRNA". From Rfam's summary of the family: Transfer RNA (tRNA) molecules are approximately 80 nucleotides in length. Lineage: Archaea; Nanobdellati; Nanobdellota. The record is from RNAcentral.
GGGCUCAUGGCUCAACCUGGUAGAGCACUCGCUUUGCAAGCGAGGGGUUGGGGGUUCAAAUCCCCCUGAGUCCA